Molecule: ribosomal RNA, 913 nt
Filed under: uncultured archaeon
Lineage: Archaea
Description: bacterial SSU rRNA
Rfam family: Archaeal small subunit ribosomal RNA
Source: RNAcentral
CCGGUUGAUCCUGCCGGACCUGACUGCUAUCGGAUUGAUACUAAGCCAUGCGAGUCAUUGUAGCAAUACAAGGCAGACGGCUCAGUAACGCGUAGUCAACCUACCCUAUGGACGGGGAUAACCUCGGGAAACUGAGAAUAAUACCCGAUAGAACAUUAUACCUGGAAUGGUUUAUGUUUCAAAUAAUUUAUUGCCGUAGGAUGGGACUGCGGCCUAUCAGUUUGUUGGUGAGGUAAUGGCCCACCAAGACUAUUACAGGUACGGGCUCUGAGAGGAGUAGCCCGGAGAUGGGUACUGAGACACGGACCCAGGCCCUAUGGGGCGCAGCAGGCGAGAAAACUUUGCAAUGUGCGAAAGCACGACAAGGUUAAUCCGAGUGGUUUCUGCUAAAGGAACCUUUUGUUAGUCAUAGAACCACUAAUGAAUAAGGGGUGGGCAAGUUCUGGUGUCAGCCGCCGCGGUAAAACCAGCACCUCAAGUGGUCAGGAUGAUUAUUGGGCCUAAAGCAUCCGUAGCCUGCUUUGUUAGUUUUCGGUUAAAUCCAUACGCUCAACGUAUGGGCUGCCGGGAAUACUGCAAAGCUAGGGAGCGGGAGAGGUAGACGGUACUCGGUAGGAAGGGGUAAAAUCCUUUGAUCUAUUGAUGACCACCUGUGGCGAAGGCGGUCUACCAGAACACGUCCGACGGUGAGGGAUGAAAGCUGGGGGAGCAAACCGGAUUAGAUACCCGGGUAGUCCCAGCUGUAAACUAUGCAAACUCGGUGAUGCAUUGGCUUGAUGCCAAUGCAGUGCCGCAGGGAAGCCGUUAAGUUUGCCGCCUGGGAAGUACGUACGCAAGUAUGAAACUUAAAGGAAUUGGCGGGGGAGCACCACAAGGGGUGAAGCCUGCGGUUCAAUUGGAUUCAACGCCGGAA